GAUGAACGCUAGCGGCAGGCCUAAUACAUGCAAGACGAACGGUAAGUUGAGUAGCAAUACUUGACCUAGAGUGUCGUACGGGUGCGUAACACGUAUGCAACCUACCCAUAACAGGAGGAUAGCUCCCCGAAAGGGGAAUUAACCCUCCAUAGUAAUAUUGAAUGGCAUCAUUUGGUAUUUAAAACUCCGGUGGUUAUGGAUGGGCAUGCGUCUGAUUAGUUAGUUGGCGGGGUAACGGCCCACCAAGGCGAUGAUCAGUAGGGGAACUGAGAGGUUGAUCCCCCACACUGGCACUGAGAUACGGGCCAGACUCCUACGGGAGGCAGCAGUAGGGAAUAUUGGUCAAUGGAUGGAAGUCUGAACCAGCCAUGCCGCGUGCAGGAAGAAGGCCUUAUGGGUUGUAAACUGCUUUUGCCAGGGGAUAAAAUAGCUGUGCGCAGCGAAUUGCAGGUACCUGGUGAAUAAGCCACGGCUAACUACGUGCCAGCAGCCGCGGUAAUACGUAGGUGGCAAGCGUUGUCCGGAUUUAUUGGGUUUAAAGGGUGCGUAGGCGGCCCUGUAAGUCAGUGGUGAAAUACUCCAGCUUAACUGGAGGGGUGCCAUUGAUACUGCAGGGCUUGAGUGGAGUAGAAGUAGGCGGAAUUGACGGUGUAGCGGUGAAAUGCUUAGAUAUCGUCAAGAACACCGAUAGUGAAGACAGCUUACUAUGCUUCAACUGACGCUGAGGCACGAAGGUGUGGGGAUCAAACAGGAUUAGAUACCCUGGUAGUCCACACUGUAAACGUUGAUGACUCGCUGUUGGCGAUACACAGCCAGCGGCCAAGCGCAAGCGAUAAGUCAUCCACCUGGG
Molecule: ribosomal RNA, 850 nt
Filed under: uncultured bacterium
Lineage: Bacteria
Description: bacterial SSU rRNA
Rfam family: Bacterial small subunit ribosomal RNA
Source: RNAcentral